UGAGAUGGUGAUACUUGACUUUCUUGUGGAAGUGGGUCCGUGUAUGUAGGCAUAGUAAAUGUGCCUUGAUCAGAUGGUGCAGUCAUUUCAUAAUCAAAAUGAAUCUCUUGGGCAGUAGAAUGCAUUUGAUCAUGAGUAAAGGAAGCAGUAGAAACAUCAUCAUGUGAUUGUAUUGGGGACUCAUUAAAGAGCCUUGCUCUAUCUGAGUCAUUUGAGGAAGGUUGAUUCAUUGUAUUUUCUAUUUCACAAGGAUGCUCCCAUUCAUGAAAAAUAGACGGCUCAUCUUGCACUGC
This 293-nucleotide long non-coding RNA is filed under the name Ananas comosus (pineapple). RNAcentral's name for it is "long non-coding RNA (ACOM_LNC005034)". Lineage: Eukaryota; Viridiplantae; Streptophyta; Magnoliopsida; Poales; Bromeliaceae. The record is from RNAcentral.